GCAGAUGUCGAAGGCAGACGCGAAAGUCGCUACUUACCACAGUACUCUAUGUGAUGUUAGAAAAAUGAGAAGGAUGAAGAUUCCUCCGAGUCCGUCAUCUCCCCGUCUUCCGUAAAGUCUGUGCAUCCUCGACGGACUUUCAAAAUGAGUCCUCCAAUCCAACAAAGGGAUGCUUUACCAGGAAGGAACUGAGCAAUCGGCGAGCGAGGAGAGCUCGCCGGAGGGCUGCGACGUCUCGUGAGGAAGCUACGCGCCCAUGUGAGGCUGUCGACUGUUCGCCGUAGCUAGUCUUUUUCUGUGGGGGUCGAAAGGGGUUGACGCUGGAGCGCAGCGGGUUGCGCCGUGAGGCUGGGAUGCCAGGGAUGCUUCUGACAGGUUGAGCCCGCCGGCGUGCCGAACCUUGUACGCCAAGUUAGAUCCAAGGUGCCCGGCAUGAUUUGUGCACUCGCUUGUUAUUUUUUUCCUACUUGGUAAUGCUUGCAAGGCCCAGGUCCACGUGGUCUGGUGCGGGGGGGCUCCCGUCAAGAACUAUACCUAGAAUCCACGUGACUGGUCUCUCAUCUCAGUAGGCCACCUGUUUCCGUCAACCGCGGGGCCGUCUCACAUCCUAUGUUUCUUCCACAGAGCAUUCCUGGAAAUCAAAUCUGCAAGGAGAUCAAAGCCCUGCUCGAUCAUGUAAAUCUGAUGCUCACAGUGAAGAGCAGAUACUACUCGCCAGCGAAAAUGAAGACCAGACCAACAGAAGAAACAAUCUGGCUGCUACACGAGGGAGGAUUCAACAACCGUAUCGAGAAACAUUUGGGAUUGUACACAUUCGGCUCCGGCCAGAGGCGCCGGCACCGAGCUCAGUCGAUCGAAACGAACGCGCAUCCUGAAUUCCAAGGGGGAAGAGAUCAGAACGAAGCAUUCCUUUCAGAUCCCCCGCCGUGACAAGGAGAGACAAGCCGAUACCAUCCGUCGGAACGCCGCCAGAAAAAGCGUUUCCGGUCGUGCAGUUCGGAGAUCGGAAGGAAGCCGGCCGGAACCUUCUCUUCUCCUCCUCCUUCCCUGGCAUUCCUCCCGAUGUUCUGAUUUGCCCCCACAUGGUGAUCUCCCUCCUCCCGCGAGCGCCAUCACACGGCCGCCAGUGUUGCCGCCGGCGUAGAUCCCUCCCGGUCACCUCGGAGGAGCCAUCAGCUACCCCGUUCACAUCGUUUUCCAUCUGCCGCCUGCUGGCAAUCGUACCCAUCAGCCAUCUUCCCCCCCUUUCCCCAUCCCUCGCCGGGCCCGCACUCGUUUUAAACGACGACUUGUAGGCGGGAAGAGGAAAGCGCGGGAAAAUCCCUCGCAAGUCCCGUCUCACGAUCUCCGUCCACGAUCUCCUUUCCCGCGCGCUGUCUGACGUGGUACCGGCCCUGGUGCGCCGCACGUCGCCUGACACGGCUUAGCUGUCGGCCACGAGGCGGCAGACACGCCGUCUUCUUUCCUACCCCGCUCUACCGACGGCGACCACAACCGCCGUAACGACGCGGGGGUCCGCAGUCAACGGCCACGUGUCCCCCUCCCUCCCCACUAAACCCCCCCAGAUUUUCUCACAAAUGCUGAGCUCUCUGCUCACGUUUCGUGGGACAAGAGGAAUUUUUGCUUCCACCCCAC
Molecule: long non-coding RNA, 1635 nt
Filed under: Spirodela polyrhiza (greater duckweed)
Lineage: Eukaryota; Viridiplantae; Streptophyta; Magnoliopsida; Alismatales; Araceae
Description: long non-coding RNA (SPOL_LNC000382)
Source: RNAcentral